UGUCCGAUGGUGUAAUUGGCAACACGUCUGAUUUUGGUUCAGAAGAGUCCAGGUUCGAGCCCUGGUCGGACAGCCU
Molecule: transfer RNA, 76 nt
Filed under: Bacteroidales bacterium
Lineage: Bacteria; Pseudomonadati; Bacteroidota; Bacteroidia; Bacteroidales
Description: tRNA-Gln
Rfam family: tRNA
About the family: Transfer RNA (tRNA) molecules are approximately 80 nucleotides in length. Their secondary structure includes four short double-helical elements and three loops (D, anti-codon, and T loops).
Source: RNAcentral